Tympanuchus pallidicinctus (lesser prairie-chicken) is the source of this 2338-nucleotide long non-coding RNA. RefSeq lists it as uncharacterized. The transcript has 2 exons. Lineage: Eukaryota; Metazoa; Chordata; Aves; Galliformes; Phasianidae. The record is from RefSeq and is a predicted model, not a curated record.
AAAAAAAAAGCGCAACAUUUGUUAUCUUUGCAGAGAUUACCAAAUUCAGACUUGUAAGUGCCAGGAGUUACAAAAACAGAAAUGCAUAAACUUAAGUUGUCAUAUUGUAUUCACAGCUUAAUGCCUUGCAUUUUUAUGUUUUUUUUGUAGUAGGAUUUUUGUUGUUUUACAAACUGUGCAACUUAUUUCCUAGUGCAAAUUUGUAAAAUAAAAUAUUUUUAAAUUUCUGAAGUACCAAAGAAACCUGUCCACAAAGAAAAAAUACCUCCUGCUCCAACAAAAGAAGAAGCUUCACAUCUUAAAGGUACAAAAUAUUUUAAGUGGGAUUCAAAGAAUAAGAGAUCUGUUUUCAUAUAUCUAUCUUAAACAAUUUUGGGAGUAUUUUAUGCACCACAACCUGUAGCAGCCACAGUAUAAACCUGAGUAAAAAAUAAAACUCACCUGGAUUUGUGCUUCAGGGAAAAAAAAAAAUUGUUAGCUUAGUUUUGCAGCAAAUGAAGGUAGGAACCCCCAAGGAAAAAUAAUAAUUAAAAAACAGACAAAUUGGAAAAGUUAGAGUGGUCUAAUCGAGAAAGUAGAUCAGUUAAGGACAUGUCACACGUCUUCUGUUAAUGUGCAGAGCUCUUAUUGUGGCAGUAUAGAAAGUCAUAGUUGUUUUUUUUCCCCCUUAUUCCAAAUACACCUGAUUUUUAGUGUAGAUGUAAGAUAGAGCUGUGCAUAUUAAGAUGAGCUUGUACAUUUGAUUUCUUUGUCUUUCUUACUGUCUUGUCUGAAGAUGUAAUUCUAUGUUAACUUUAAAAUUAUACUAAUAUCUUUCAAGUACGUGAAGUUUAUGAGGAAAUAUAUGUAGAAGAAGAAAUUUCCACUGUUCAUAGAAAAGAGGAGGCUUCGACACCUAGAGGUAUAUGAACUUCUUGAUCAUCUCUCAUCUGCAAUUUGGUCAUUGAUCAUCUGCAAUUGAUUAUCUGCAAUUUGCAAAUUGAUGACCUUCAAGAAAAAUUUAAUUAUUCAUGUUCAUAGUUUAGAUCUCGUUCAAUAUAAUUAAUAUUUGUGUUCAUUCUUUUUGUUCGUUACUUGCAUUUAAUACAGGCUUUUUUUGUAUGACUUGUUUUUCUGUUCUGUAAAAAUUCUUAAAAUGAACUAAUAUCUUUAAAGUGCCUGCAUUUGUGAAAAUUGCUCCUGAAGUGCCUCUUGCUGUGCCUAAAAAACCAGAACCUACUCCUGUGUCUAAAAAGCCAGAAUCACCAUUUAAAGUGCCUGAAGUGCCCACAAAAGUUAUCGCUGAAGAGAAGCCUGUCCCUCUAUCUAAAAAGCCAGAAGCUCCACCCGCCAAAGGUAUAGGCCAACAUAUCCUUUCUUACUCCUUUUUCUUUAGCUUUCUUCUGUCUUGUUUUGCUCUUGUCCAAAUGUUGAAAAAUAGUUCAAUUUGGCUAUUUCUUCUAUCCAAGAACAAGCCGUUGCAGUGGUACAGAAAUUAUAUCAGAAAAUUAUCAGAAGGACUAGUAGUAAUGAGAAAAACUUUAGCUGAGUCAAUAGGCAGCAAGAUUUACAAAAUAAGCAUUUUCAUUUUAUGGAUAUUAAUAUAUACUUAAACAGCUUCAGAAAUUCCACAAUACUCAAGCAAGAAAUCUCUGUUCUCUUUCACAUUGUUCAUGUUAAACUUAUUGAUUCAUUUUUGAAUAGAAAUAGCAUUUGGCUAUUGAAAACAUUAGAAAUACAGAAAUACAAUAUAGAAAUGAAAACAUUUCUAACAGUUCAUUCAGGUAUUUUGGAAGGCUGUUUGAAUGAGCAUUUUGUGUCAUAUGUCACUACUGCAUGACAAAAGUCUCCCAGUUAAGCUGCUUCAAGCCAUUCUUUGUCAGAGUAGAACAAGUGCAACUGUUUUGAACAUAUAAGUGUUGUCAGACUGUCCUUUCAUAUCUACUUGUUCUAUCUUACUUCCAUGUGUUGUGUGUUUUAUUUUUCUAAUUCCCAAAAGUGCAUAUCUUUCAAGUAUCCACGCUACCUGAGAAAUCUGUCUCAGAAGAGAAGGUACCUUUUGCUGUACCAAAAAAGACAGGAACACCACUUAAAGUCUAUAUGUCAACAAUGGUUAAACUCUGAGAAGAUUUCUCUUUCUCUUGGGCAGAGGUGUUUACAUUAAAAUAAAAUUCAUCCUUUCUCCCUUAUUUAUAAACAUUCCUAUAGAAUGUAGUAAUAUACAACAUUUCCUGCAUUGCACAUCUAAUUUCAGAUUCGUUCUUAUGAAUCAUUCUGCUAUUCUUCUUGUGACGCUCUUCUAAAUAGUUUACUUUAAAUGCUUUAAAAAUAACAAAAAUAAAUGCUGUUUUCUUUAAAG